This 329-nucleotide ribosomal RNA is filed under the name uncultured eukaryote. RNAcentral describes it as "partial 18S ribosomal RNA". It matches the Rfam family "Eukaryotic small subunit ribosomal RNA", at positions 1470 to 1796 of the family's 1831-position model. The record is from RNAcentral.
CCCUUAGAUGUUCUGGGCCGCACGCGCGCUACACUGACAGAGCCAACGAGUUCUUCACCUUGGCCGGAAGGUCUGGGUAAUCUUGUUAAACUCUGUCGUGCUGGGGAUAGAGCAUUGCAAUUAUUGCUCUUCAACGAGGAAUGCCUAGUAAGCGCGUGUCAUCAGCACGCGUUGAUUACGUCCCUGCCCUUUGUACACACCGCCCGUCGCUACUACCGAUUGAGUGGCUCAGUGAGGCCUUCGGACUGGCUCAGGGAGGUUGGCAACGACCACCCCGAGCCGGAAAGUUCGUCAAACUCGGUCAUUUAGAGGAAGUAAAAGUCGUAACA